UGUACCGCGUUGACGGAGCGAAGCGACGUCAAACCGAUAAAACAGCAGUGUAAAGUGAGCCGCAGGGCGCUUUGCGCGACAGCGCAAAGGCAGGCGGUUUCGCGUAGCGAAAGCGAAUGCUUUGGGGUGGGGUGACUGCGUACCUUUUGUAUAAUGGGUCAGCGACUUAUAUUCUGUAGCAAGGUUAACCGAAUAGGGGAGCCGGAGGGAAACCGAGUCUUAAUUGGGCGUUAAGUUGCAGGGUAUAGACCCGAAACCCGGUGAUCUAGCCAUGGGCAGGUUGAAGGUUGGGUAACACUAACUGGAGGACCGAACCGACUAAUGUUGAAAAAUUAGCGGAUGACCUGUGGCUGGGGGUGAAAGGCCAAUCAAACCGGGAGAUAGCUGGUUCUCCCCGAAAGCUAUUUAGGUAGCGCCUCGUGAAUUCAUCUCCGGGGGUAGAGCACUGUUUCGGCUAGGGGGCCAUCCCGGCUUACCAACCCGAUGCAAACUGCGAAUACCGGAGAAUGUUAUCACGGGAGACACACGGCGGGUGCUAACGUCCGUCGUGAAGAGGGAAACAACCCAGACCGCCAGCUAAGGUCCCAAAGUCAUGGUUAAGUGGGAAACGAUGUGGGAAGGCCCAGACAGCCAGGAUGUUGGCUUAGAAGCAGCCAUCAUUUAAAGAAAGCGUAAUAGCUCACUGGUCGAGUCGGCCUGCGCGGAAGAUGUAACGGGGCUAAACCAUGCACCGAAGCUGCGGCAGCGACACUGUGUGUUGUUGGGUAGGGGAGCGUUCUGUAAGCCUGUGAAGGUGUGUCGUGAGGCAUGCUGGAGGUAUCAGAAGUGCGAAUGCUGACAUAAGUAACGAUAAAGCGGGUGAAAAGCCCGCUCGCCGGAAGACCAAGGGUUCCUGUCCAACGUUAAUCGGGGCAGGGUGAGUCGACCCCUAAGGCGAGGCCGAAAGGCGUAGUCGAUGGGAAACGGGUUAAUAUUCCCGUACUUGGUGUUACUGCGAAGGGGGGACGGAGAAGGCUAUGUUGGCCGGGCGACGGUUGUCCCGGUUUAAGCGUGUAGGUGUGUGUUCCAGGUAAAUCCGGUUCACUUUAACACUGAGGCGUGACGACGAGGCACUACGGUGCUGAAGCAACAAAUGCCCUGCUUCCAGGAAAAGCCUCUAAGCAUCAGGUAACAUCAAAUCGUACCCCAAACCGACACAGGUGGUCAGGUAGAGAAUACCAAGGCGCUUGAGAGAACUCGGGUGAAGGAACUAGGCAAAAUGGUGCCGUAACUUCGGGAGAAGGCACGCUGACACGUAGGUGAAGUGAUUUACUCAUGGAGCUGAAGUCAGUCGAAGAUACCAGCUGGCUGCAACUGUUUAUUAAAAACACAGCACUGUGCAAACACGAAAGUGGACGUAUACGGUGUGACGCCUGCCCGGUGCCGGAAGGUUAAUUGAUGGGGUCAGCGCAAGCGAAGCUCCUGAUCGAAGCCCCGGUAAACGGCGGCCGUAACUAUAACGGUCCUAAGGUAGCGAAAUUCCUUGUCGGGUAAGUUCCGACCUGCACGAAUGGCGUAAUGAUGGCCAGGCUGUCUCCACCCGAGACUCAGUGAAAUUGAACUCGCUGUGAAGAUGCAGUGUACCCGCGGCAAGACGGAAAGACCCCGUGAACCUUUACUAUAGCUUGACACUGAACAUUGAGCCUUGAUGUGUAGGAUAGGUGGGAGGCUUUGAAGUGUGGACGCCAGUCUGCAUGGAGCCGACCUUGAAAUACCACCCUUUAAUGUUUGAUGUUCUAACGUGGACCCGUUACCCGGGUUGCGGACAGUGUCUGGUGGGUAGUUUGACUGGGGCGGUCUCCUCCUAAAGAGUAACGGAGGAGCACGAAGGUUGGCUAAUCCUGGUCGGAC
RNAcentral lists this ribosomal RNA (1890 nucleotides) under Salmonella enterica. Its description in RNAcentral is "partial 23S ribosomal RNA". It matches the Rfam family "Bacterial large subunit ribosomal RNA", at positions 1 to 2336 of the family's 2925-position model. Lineage: Bacteria; Pseudomonadati; Pseudomonadota; Gammaproteobacteria; Enterobacterales; Enterobacteriaceae. The record is from RNAcentral.